AAAGCUGAAGGGGACGGGUCGGAGCAUCCUCCCCUCGCCCGGGGCCGUCCCAGGACAUUGAUUAAUUAUGCAAAUGAGCGGGAAAGGCACCCAGAGCCGCCCGGCAAGGCAGCAGCGGGUCUGAGAGCUCAACCUUGACCUCUGCCACCUUCCUCCUCCUCUUCCUCGCAUCUCAAACCCUCGCGGACGGGGAAAAUCGGGGGGAAAAGCAGGAAAUCAGCCCCGGGGGGGCAGCAGGAGCUGCAGCCGGGCCCGGCCGAGCCGGAGGAACUGGAGGAACUGGAGGAACUGAUCCUGCCUGGAAAAGCGCCGCCAACAAACCCUGAGCGCCGCUGCGCGUUUUGCCGAGGGCAAAGUCCUUCCCCUGCCUCGCUGAGCCACCUGUGCCAAGGGGGAAAAGCAGCAGAAUCGACGCCGAGCAGAUGUUUCUCCCUCCCACGCUGGAGACCCCCCCAGCUGGAGCUCUGCCCCCCUUUUUGUUAUUUUUUUGCGUGGGCACCAGAAGUGAAAUCCCGGCUCCAAGCAGCCCCGGCCGGCCAGACCGGAGCGCCCAGGGAGGAAGGGCUGGCAUUUUUUGGGUGAAUAAUUUUUUUUUUGGGUGAAGAAAACGCCGCAAGUUGUUCAGCUCCGAGGCUCUCCCCGGGCACGGCUCUGCCCUCCCCUUCCCUGGCACCCCCUCUUUUUUGGGGGGCGGCCGCGCAGCGUUUGGAGAGGAAUCCCAAGGAAUUCGGUUGAAAGUUGGGUUUUGUUCCGCGCCGCUUUGGGGAUGCCCCGGGGACGAGCUGGAUUUUUGUUUUUUGGGGGUGGUUUGAGGCACCCGAGUGGCCUUUAAGGCAGCAGAAAGUCCCAUUUCCCACGGAAAUACCCUUAAAAAAAACCCCAAACAAACCCAACCACCCCCACCGACCGAGCAGGGGCUUUCCCUGCCCACCCCCACAGCCCCCUCCGAGCGACAAAGGGGUCACAGAUCACCCCAAAAAGUGGCGAUUGGGGGGGGCUGACGGCGUUUGGGGGCGCUGGGGCU
Motacilla alba alba is the source of this 1024-nucleotide long non-coding RNA. RefSeq lists it as uncharacterized. Lineage: Eukaryota; Metazoa; Chordata; Aves; Passeriformes; Motacillidae. The transcript is spliced from 3 exons. The record is from RefSeq and is a predicted model, not a curated record.